This 253-nucleotide ribosomal RNA is filed under the name uncultured bacterium. RNAcentral's name for it is "partial 16S ribosomal RNA". It matches the Rfam family "Bacterial small subunit ribosomal RNA", at positions 524 to 776 of the family's 1533-position model. The record is from RNAcentral.
UACGUAGGGUGCAAGCGUUAAUCGGAAUUACUGGGCUUAAAGCGCACGCAGGCGGUCUGUUAAGUCAGAGGUGAAAUCACCGGGCUUAACCUGGGAACUGCAUUUGAAACUGGCAGGCUUGAGUCUCGUAGAGGGGGGUAGAAUUCCAGGUGUAGCGGUGAAAUGCGUAGAGAUCUGGAGGAAUACCGGUGGCGAAGGCGGCCCACUGGACGAUGACUGACGCUCAGGUGCGAAAGCGUGGGGAGCAAACAGG